Molecule: ribosomal RNA, 451 nt
Filed under: uncultured bacterium
Lineage: Bacteria
Description: bacterial SSU rRNA
Rfam family: Bacterial small subunit ribosomal RNA
Source: RNAcentral
GUCGAGAGGCUUCGGCAAUGGGGGAAACCCUGACCGAGCGACGCCGCGUGAGGGAUGACGCCCUUCGGGGUGUAAACCUCUUUUCUGGGGGAAGAACAACACCGGUACGAAUACGACCGGUGCCUGACGGUACCCCAGGAAUAAGCUCCGGCUAACUCCGUGCCAGCAGCCGCGGUAAUACGGGGGGAGCAAACGUUGUUCGGAAUCACUGGGCGUAAAGGGCGCGUAGGCGGCCCGGUAAGUGGUGUGUGAAAGCCCCUGGCUCAACCAGGGAACUGCGCUCCAAACUACCGGGCUUGAGGGCAGUAGAGGAAACUGGAAUUCCUGGUGUAGCGGUGAAAUGCGUAGAUAUCAGGAGGAACACCGUUGGCGAAGGCGAGUUUCUGGGCUGUCCCUGACGCUGAUGCGCGAAAGCUGGGGGAGCAAACAGGAUUAGAAACCCGAGUAGUCC